UUACACCUACGGGAGGCAGCAGUGGGGAAUAUUGCACAAUGGGGGGAACCCUGAUGCAGCGACGCCGCGUGAAGGAAGAAGUAUCUCGGUAUGUAAACUUCUAUCAGCAGGGAAGAAAGAGGACGGUACCUGACUAAGAAGCCCCGGCUAACUACGUGCCAGCAGCCGCGGUAAUACGUAGGGGGCGAGCGUUAUCCGGAUUUACUGGGAGUAAAGGGGGCGUAGACGGCCAUGCAAGCUCGGUGUGAAAGGUGCGG
RNAcentral lists this ribosomal RNA (257 nucleotides) under uncultured bacterium. RNAcentral's name for it is "partial 16S ribosomal RNA". It matches the Rfam family "Bacterial small subunit ribosomal RNA", at positions 333 to 606 of the family's 1533-position model. The record is from RNAcentral.